Phycodurus eques (leafy seadragon) is the source of this 662-nucleotide long non-coding RNA. RefSeq lists it as uncharacterized. Lineage: Eukaryota; Metazoa; Chordata; Actinopteri; Syngnathiformes; Syngnathidae. The record is from RefSeq and is a predicted model, not a curated record. The transcript has 2 exons.
ACCACACCUCCACGGGGGAGGUUGUUCUCUCUUUCAGGGGGGAACACAAGGCUAUGAAGGAGUAUGUGGAAGAAUCACUGGCAGCCGGGAUUAUUAGCCCAUCUUCAUCCCCUGCGGGAGGAGGAUUUUUCUUUGUGGACAAAAAGUACAAGACCGUGCGACCCUGUAUCGAUUACCGGGGUCUCAACGAGAUAACUGUGAAAAACAGGGUCGCGAGCGUCCUGGAGCCUAUCCCAGCAAUCUUCGAGCGAGAAGCGGGGUACACACUGAACUGAUCGCCAGCCAAUCGCAGGAUAACCAACAGUAUUUUUCUGAAAUUCACUUUGUGCAUAAAGCAGGAAACUGUAUUUACUUGUCUACAAACAUUUAUAGUGAGGCAAUUUCAAACACAAAUUAAGAUCAGUUUAAACUUGGCAUUUCUUGUGAGUAUCAGAAAAAUAAGGCAUUAAUUUAAAAAAAGAGGAACACAAGUUUGUCAUCUUGUUAUAAAUGUACAAUUUUAUCCAACUGUGGUUUCUCAGUCUGAACUCUCGGGGCACUAUGUAAAACUAUUACAUCAAAUAGAGGCAAAGAAAAGGACAUGAAGAAUGUAGUUUCAUCGUCGAAUAGAUGCUAGCUGUGUGCUGAUCGAUAAAGGUCAAUAAAAUGAAUAAAAACAGAAA